CCUACGGGGUGCUGCAGUGAGGAAUAUUGGUCAAUGGACGAGAGUCUGAACCAGCCAAGUAGCGUGAAGGAUGACUGCCCUAUGGGUUGUAAACUUCUUUUAUAUGGGAAUAAAACGUUCCACGUGUGGGAUUUUGUAUGUACCAUAUGAAUAAGGAUCGGCUAACUCCGUGCCAGCAGCCGCGGUAAUACGGAGGAUCCGAGUGUUAUCCGGAUUUAUUGGGUUUAAAGGGAGCGUAGGUGGAUUGUUAAGUCAGUUGUGAAAGUUUGCGGCUCAACCGUAAAAUUGCAGUUGAAACUGGCAGUCUUGAGUACAGUAGAGGUGGGCGGAAUUCGUGGUGUAGCGGUGAAAUGCUUAGAUAUCACGAAGAACUCCGAUUGCGAAGGCAGUUCACUGGACUGCAACUGACACUGAGGCUCGAAAGUGUGGGUAUCAAACAGGAUUAGAUACCCGGGUAGUC
This 460-nucleotide ribosomal RNA is filed under the name uncultured bacterium. RNAcentral describes it as "partial 16S ribosomal RNA". It matches the Rfam family "Bacterial small subunit ribosomal RNA", at positions 338 to 795 of the family's 1533-position model. The record is from RNAcentral.